Molecule: long non-coding RNA, 1360 nt
Organism: Athene cunicularia (burrowing owl)
Lineage: Eukaryota; Metazoa; Chordata; Aves; Strigiformes; Strigidae
Exons: 2
Source: RefSeq, a predicted model, not a curated record
ACUCCCUCUUCUUUGUCUUCAUCACAACCUAAACUUUUUUUCCCCUGGCCAAGGAGAGCACGCGAAGGCGCAGGACGCGAUGGAGCAGCCCCCACCUUCUCACACAAGCUGGGCUUUGCUUUAGAGCAGAGACAGCGUCCUCCUCUCCUUCCUCCUCCCCAACCAGCGACCCCGGAGCGCGGGCUGUCAGCAAAGCCACGUUUGCUGCAGGGCACCGGGAGCUGAAAGACAACGGGCACGGCCUCGGGGAACCCCAGUGCCAGGAGAGACCCGGCUGCGAGGGCACUUGCUGCUUCCCCGGCUGCUGAGCAACCUCCAACUACUCUUUUUAUCCAGAAUCCAGAUCAAAAAUAUUCCGGCAACGUUUAAAUUUGCAAUCUACAUGUUCCCUUUCUCCUCCCCGAGGGGAGCGAUCCACCGGCUUCUGGAGUCAUCCUGGAGUAUUGGAACAAAUGUAGGAGGAAUGUGUUAACGUAUUUCAGGAGGAACGUGGGGUUCAAGUUCUAGUUUUGGAAUUGUGGAGCGACCACGAGGGCAGGUCCCAGCCCGCUCCGCGGUGUGAGGCAGGACGCAGGCAGCUUGUUUCAUCUUUUCCAGCUCGUUGAUUUGGGAAAAGAAGUUCUUACCCGAGGACACACACGAGGGGUAAAACCCAGCGGGUCACCGAGGCGAGAAGGGCUGGAGAGGCGCUUGUGUCCCGUUUCCUCCUGCAGAACACGCGUGGCCCUGUCUGAUGGCACCUGUGAGGACGUUUAAUCUGGUUGUGGCUUUUAAUUUCAAUCCAUGAAACUCCACAGACUUUGUCUUCUCCUUCCUUUCCUGUUCUCCCAUCAACCUGUUUUUUUUUUUUGGGGGGGGGGGGGAAGAACCUGUGCCCACAUCUUGAGCAGCCUCACCGACACGUGAGCGGUGCGAAACGAGCUGCUUCUCAGAUCUACUCGGAAUAAGAGGCAGACACGACACUUUGUCCAUUUAUUUAUUGUCAUUCAAAUACUAAAAAUCCCUCACAAUACAAUAUACAGUUAUUGAUCUCAGAUUCUUCCCCCAUUGAGACUAUCAGGUUUUAGUGGGAUUUUUUUUUUUUUUUUAAGUUUUUGUUUUAUUAUCAAAGAUUUAGAGUCACAAUAAAUAAGAGUGACAAAAAACAUACCCUGCGCUGGCGUAACGUUACUCUGUUACACUCCUCUGUUAGAUGAUUAUAAAUUCUUUUUUUCUUCUUCUUCUUCUAUUAAAAAAAAAAAAAGCACAAUGCAAGUUAUUUCGCUAAAUGCAACGUACGGCGUAACUCUGCCUUAAGCAGACAAACACUACUGUGGUUCCUUGAGGUCUUUUUGUGUUGUUAUAUAUAUUUAUAUAUUUA